RNAcentral lists this ribosomal RNA (25 nucleotides) under Amanita aff. javanica HKAS 53281. RNAcentral describes it as "partial 28S ribosomal RNA". Lineage: Eukaryota; Fungi; Basidiomycota; Agaricomycetes; Agaricales; Amanitaceae. The record is from RNAcentral.
UUGACCUCAAAUCAAGCCAGACUAC